AUACGUAGGGGGCGAGCGUUGUCCGGAAUGAUUGGGCGUAAAGGGCGCGUAGGCGGCCCGGUAAGUCUGGAGUGAAAGUCCUGUUUUUAAGAUGGGAAUUGCUUUGGAUACUGUCGGGCUUGAGUGCAGGAGAGGUAAGUGGAAUUCCCAGUGUAGCGGUGAAAUGCGUAGAGAUUGGGAGGAACACCAGUGGCGAAGGCGACUUACUGGACGGUAACUGACGCUGAGGCGCGAAAGUGUGGGGAGCAAACAGGAUUAGAUACCCUGGUAGUCCACGCCGUAAACGAUGAAUACUGGGUGUAGGGGGUAUCGACUCCCUCUGUGCCGCAGUUAACACAAUAAGUAUUCCGCCUGGGGAGUACGGCCGCAAGGUUGAAACUCAAAUGAAUUGACGGGG
Molecule: ribosomal RNA, 397 nt
Filed under: uncultured bacterium
Lineage: Bacteria
Description: partial 16S ribosomal RNA
Rfam family: Bacterial small subunit ribosomal RNA
Source: RNAcentral